Molecule: long non-coding RNA, 6333 nt
Filed under: Heterocephalus glaber (naked mole-rat)
Lineage: Eukaryota; Metazoa; Chordata; Mammalia; Rodentia; Bathyergidae
Description: lncRNA (ENSHGLG00100033067.1)
Source: RNAcentral
UCUAAAUCCCUUAAUGGUAUUUUAUUGGGUUGUUUUGUUUUUUUGGUUUUUUUUUUUUUUUUUGGUACCAGGGAUCCAACUCAGAACCUUGAGCUUUUGAGGCAGGCAGCGGAACCACUGAGCUAAAUCCCCAGCCCUCUUAAUGGUAUUUUAAGUGAACACGUUUUAAUUUGAAUGUUGAUCAACGUUUUCUUUUAUCAUUUGUGCUUUGUAUCCUGAUUUUUUUUCUUUGUAUCCUGCUUAAGAAAUCUUUGUGAUCUAAAGAUUAUGAAGAUUUUUCUUCCAAAGUCACAUUCUUUUUACGUUUUCCAUUUGGAUAUGUGACCCAUCUGAAAUUGAUGUGUGUAAGGUAGGGUCAAGAUUCCUUUUUCCAAAUUAAGACAUGUUAUGUACAUGUACCAGCUCCUCACAAGGAACGUAAGCAUUAUGUCAUACAAACGAGCACUAAAAAAAGAAUAUAAUGAGGCACUCUAAAAUGGUUAAAACAGCAAAUAAUCAUGUAUAUUUUAUCACAAAAAUAUCACAAGUAGCCCACAGAGUCAUUGUAAAGUUUAAAAGACAAUAUAAGGCGCUAACACCUACAAAUGCUCAGAAAAUGUUGGCUAUCAUUGCCCUCAUUUUGCCCCUCUUCCUCCUCAUCAUGAGGUUUUCCCAUUCAGAAAGGGAUCUUAUCUCAGAGGGCUAUCAAUCCUCCAACUGCCUAGAAAGAGGGCCUUGGUCUGGCCUUACAAAUAGGAUACAUAUUGUGAACCUUGAGACUAACUGGAUACAUUUUCAAGGCUAACAGAGAGGACAUAACAGAAUACCUGUUGUGAAUACUAAAGCUAACAGGAUAAACAUAUAUAUUUUGUGGUGGCUUACACUGUGAUUAUAUAAAGUAUCACUCAUUGGGAGGGUUUGUGGAUCUGCCUGUUUCUGGAUAAGGCCUGUGAGAAUUCUUAAGGCUUAAAGACCUGAAAGUUGAAAACUUUUUUUUUUUUUUGAGACGGUCUUGCUGUGUGGUUCAGGCUGGCCCUGAACUCACUAUGUAGCCCAGGCUGGCCUUGAACUUGUGGUGAUCCUCCUGCCUCUGCCUCCUGAGUGCUGGGAUUACAGGUGUGUGCCAGCAUGCCUGGCUAAAAGUUUAAAACUUUAGCAAUAAAACUUCCGAACUGAGAGGAAUGUUCAUUUCUUCUGUGAUCUUUCUUUCCUGCUCAUUUUUAAAAGUGCAUACCAAGCAUUGGGGUUAAAAUGGUCAGCAAGAUAGACAUGAUCUCUGACUUAUCAGAACAUAUUAGAAAAAGAGCUUACCACCUAGGAGGGGAGACUACUACCAGGCCUAUUGGUACAUACCUGUAGUCCCAGCACUAGGGAGGCUCAGGCAGGGGGAUUGCCGUGAGCUCAAAGCCAGCCUGGGCUACACAGUCAGUUCAAGGCCAGCGUGAACUACAUAACGAGACCCUAUCUCAAAAAUAAAUAAAUAAAUACAAACAACUACAACAUGGAACACAUCCUUUUCAGCCCGGAGGCUCAUGGGUAGGGAAGGUUAUCAGGAAGAGCGCAUCAGGAGGAAUAACUCUACACUGAGAAUGAAAGACUGAGUAGGGGUGAAUCAAGGGAAGAGUGGGAAGAGAAAAGAGAUUAAAGAGGACUGGGGAUUUAGCUCAGUGGUUUCGCUGCCUGCUGUGCAAGCGCAAGUACCUGAGUUUGAUCCCCGGUACCAAAAAACAAAAAAAAAAAGAGAUUAAAGAGAAAGGGAGAGAGAGAGAGGGAGGGAGAGAGGGAGAGAGACAGAAACUAUAUGGGAGAGAAGCUUUAGUUUAGCAGAAGUCCAAAGGAAACAGUGGGAGAUGGGUUGGGAAGAGAAAAGAGGCUCUCGUUACAGAAAGUAUUAUAGACAGGCUAAGUUAUGUAGAAAUUCAUAUGCCGUCAGAGAGGGACUGGGCUCUCAAGGAAGUCAGUGCAGAAGAUGAGCACACAUCAGAUCUGGCUGGAGGCACAUCUAAAGAAAGUGAGGCUUGCCAGGGAUUUAGCUCAGGGGUUUCACCGCCUGCUGCCCAAGCGCAAGAACCUGAGUUCAAUCCCCAGUACCAAAAAAAAAAAAAAAAAAAAGGAGAAUAAAGAAAGUGGGGCCUUGAGAUAAAGUCACAAAGGCUAGACUUGCAUACCUCCCUAAGGGAUGAAUGGAAACUGGAGAUUAUACUGUCAUUGGUACCACCCUGUCCAUUAAAUCCAGAUAUGCAUCAGACACCACAAUGGGUGACCACAACACCUGGACUCAUCCCUUCCCCAAAUUGUUCCUGGUUUAGAAGUCUUUUUUUUUUCUUUUUGGUACUGGGGAUCGAACUUGGGUCCCUGUGCUUGCAAGGCAGGUGGCAGAACCACUGAGCUAAAUCCCCGGCCCUAGAAGUCUUAAAGAAGCCAAGGUUAGUGAUUUCAGUUGUAUAACCUUGCUAUGUGCAUGCCCCACUUCCCUACUGGAUCAAUAUUAGCUAAGGGACUAUUCUCAUACUCUUAUUGGUUGAUUAUAGUUUGGUCCACAUUGUACCCAUCUUGUGAUUCUGUACCCACCUCGUGAUUUUGCACUAUAAAACAGUAUUGGAGAGGCAGGAAUUUAGCUCAGUGGUACUGUGCCUGUCUCACAAGUGCAAGGUCAUGAGUUCAAUCCCUGGUACUAAAAAAAAAAUUUCUUGGAGAAAUGACCUCUGUGGCAAUCCACCCCUCUGGAGCUAUUUCUCAAUAAAUCUUUCCUACUCUUUUUUUUUUUUUUUGAGACAGGGUCUCGCUAUAUAGUCCAGGCUGGUAUUGAACUCACUAUGCACCCCAGGCUGGCUUCGAACUUGCGGCGAUCCUCCUGCCUCAGCCUCCCAAGUGCUGGGAAUACAGUAGCUAUUUGUGGGUGUACAGUAACCCAACAAAAAUGUCUCCAGGAAUCGUCUCAGGCCCACUGGAUGGCACCACACAUCAGGGCCAUUGUCUCAACUCUGUAGCCCUUUGUCCUGGUUCACCGUCCCCUGUUCAGAGAAUUUCCUGGCAAAGAUGCAAAGAGCCACGGCUCAGCAGAUACAACUGUCCUGGACUCAGACUCUGAUGACUCCCCAUUUGUGAGAAGCAGAACAAUGGAAGAAGGCAUGGCCCUCGGGUAUUGCUCAAAUUCAGGACAAGAAGAACCUGGAAAGGAUCUCUAGAAGGGGCCCACAGCACUCCAGAACCCCAGUAAUAUUUUUGGCAAAGCCAGCCAGAAGAUGAGAAGAUCCUGGAAACUAACUCCAGACUCCUUGGACACCUUCUAUCCCCACUGGAUGUCUCAUCCUGCUCCUGAGAGAGGUCCCAGUGUAACCAGCUCCCUCUAGCUCUUGGGUCCUUGUUUGGGGGCAAUGAAAAUUGAAGCUGACAAAUCAGCAAACAGCAAGUGGUGGGGAAUGGUCAAAUGUGUGUUUAUUAGAAAAAAUAAAAGGUGGGCUGGGGAUUUAUUUAGCUCAGUGGUUCUGGCACCUGCCUUGUGAGCGCAAGGUCUGGAGUUCGAUCCCCAGUACCAAAAAAGAAAGAAAAAGAAGGAAAGAAAAAGAAAAAAUAAAAGGAAAAGCCCCCCAGUAGUCAGGGAGGGGUUCUGUAAGCCGGACACUGUAGAUGUUUAAAUCCAUUGGUGGCAGCUGCUGCUGCUACUUCUUCCUCUUUGUCUUGCUUCUACUUCCUCCUCUUCCUCUUUUUUUUUUUUUUUUUUUGGUACCGGGGAUCGAACUCAGAUCCUUGCACUUGCAAGGCAGGCAGUGGAACCACUGAGCUAAAUCCCCAGCCCUCUCUUCCUCUUCUUUGUUGUUGUUGCUGUUUUGUGUUUUGAGACAGGUCUCAUUAUGUAGUCCAGGCUAGCCUCGAACCCACAGUGACCUGCCUCAGGCUCCUGAGUGCUGGGAUUACAGGCAUGGGCCACUACACCUGAUGAAAUCAAGGAAGCUUUUGAUUGUACAAUCUAGAUCUAAUGCCAGUUUGAGGAAUGGGAAAUAUAAUAGAUUGUGGCCAUUAACCCUGUCACCCCUGUGCUUGCUUUCUUCAAUGGCCUGCUCUUACUCUGCGUUGCAUACUUCUUUUCCUACUUUAAUUGGCCCACACUUACUCUAAAGAACAUAUUUCUCUUGCUACCUUUAAUAAAUAUAAAACUUUGCUACCUUUUACACACCUUGACCAAUUCUUUGUUCAGGACAAGAACCUGAAAAGGGUCUCUAGAAGGAGCCUAUAGCAGGCCAGAACUCUGUUCACAGACACAUGGUUUGCUCUCAGUUCCAGUACAGACACAGAAUGCAAUAGACUUUCUCAACCAUGCCUGCCCCACAAGCUCAAGGACCCGAGUUCGAUUCCCAGUACCAAAAAAAAAAGAAAUAGACUUUCUUAAACAUAUGCCCUACGAACCUGUGUGUCAGUUGGUUUGGGUAGUAUUUUGGCUUAGGUAGGAGGUGGUUUAUAUACUUGGGAGUAGAAUUGCUGGGUUAUAAGACAAACACAAAUAUACAUAAUUUGAUUAAAUACAUUUAAAAGACCUACCAGAGAAAUUAUACCUGCAUUAACAAUUUAUGAAAAAUCUUAUUUCUACCACAUCCUCACCAGCCCUUUGAAUUAUCUUGAGUUUCUAACUUGAAGCUGUAUUACAGACAUAAAAUAUUACCUUGUUGUGUUAAUUUGGGUUUCUCUGAUUAGCAGGUCAGAGUUCAUACAGUUUUCACGCUAGAGUCUGUAGUGUUUGUGGGAGAAGAGAAAGAUGUCUCCCAUUCUCUGAGACACCAGUGAAAUGUGUCAGUUGCAUGCUCCCCUUCACUGCCCAAAGCUCGCUGCUCCCUCCUGGAUUCUUGCUUUGUACUUAAGGUUCAAAGUGAUUUCAAAGGUCUUUACGUGGCAACACUUUUUAAGCCUUGAAUAAAUACUUAUUUCAUUCUAGUGUUUACAUGGCAGGAUAGCUAUAGAUGGAAAUCCUAGUUUCAAAGUUCUUUGACUUCAAGCCUUGAAAAUAAUUUUACGUGAAUUUAUGGUUUCCUAAAUACAGUAAUACAUUGCUUUGUUUUGCUAAUUUAUUGUCCAGUUUUUCUCAGUAAAUAAGAAUAGGAGCAACUUGUCUUCUGAAAAUUGUUGUCUUCUUUCUUUUUUUUAUUUUUGUACCAGGGAUCGAACUCAGGAUCUUGCGCUUUCAAGGGAGGUGCCAGAACCACUGAGCUAAAUCCCCGGCCCUGAAACUUGUCUUCACUCAAUAUUAUAGUUCUAGUUUCAUCUAUUUUGUCACCUGUGGCUGUACAUAAUUCUAUUUCCUUCUGCAUAAUAUUCUACUUUUUAGGUAUAUUUGGGGGCUGGGUAUUUGGCUCAGGGGAAGAGGGCAGGUUUAGCAUGUGUGAGGGCCUGGUUCAAACCCCAGUACUAGCCUCCAGAUUACAAUGUAUCCAUUAUCCUGGUGACAAUAGACUAUUUCAUUUUUGUCUUUGAAAGACUAUUGCUAAAUGUAUUUUAUAUGUAUCUCUUAAUGGACACACACAAAAAAGUGUGGAGUAGAAAUGCUAGGUCAUAAAAUUUCCACAUCUUGGCUGUGGUGGCACACGCCUGUAAUCCCAGUACUUGGGAGGCAGAGACAGGAGGAUCACUGCAAAUUCAAGGCCAGCCUGGGCUACAUAGUGAGUUCAAGGCCAGCCUGCAUUACAGAGCAAGACUGUCUCAAAAAACAAAAAGAAAAUGUGCACAUCUUUAAUUGUAUUUGAUAAUACCAGCUUGUUUUCCAAAGGGUUCGUUCCACUUUACUCUCCUGCCAGCUGUAUAUAAGAAUUCUGGUUGACCCUCAUCCUUGAUGACACUUUGUAUUAUUAGGGCUCCUAACUUUGAAGAACAUAAUGGAUGGAAAUUGAUACAGGUACUUCUGGAUCUUAAUUUGCAUUUUCCAAUUAACUACAGGAAAUGAGCAUCUUAUCACUUUAUGGCUGGUUCUUCUAGGAAAUGUCAGUUCAAAUCUUUGCCCAUUUGUCUAUUGGGUUUUUUCUUGUUUGUAAUUUCUUUUUAAAAAACUAUUCUAAGGCCUCAGAUAUAGCUCAGUGGCAUAGUGCCUGCCUGCCUACCUGUCAAGCAGAAGGUCUUGAGUUUGAUCCUGGUAAAAACAAACAAAAAACAACCUCUAAACAAGCACUUGGGAGGCUGAGGCAGGAGGAUGGACACCAAUUUGAGGCCAGUUGAAGCUUCUUAGUGAGUUCAAGGCCAGUUGAACUACAUACCCAGACCCUAUCUCAAAACAAAUAAAGGGGAAGAGGAAGUGGGAAGGAUAGGGGAAAGAGGGGAAUGGAAUUAAUAUGAGAAAAUGAAAAAAUGGAAACAGUCUUUGUAAACAGG